Molecule: long non-coding RNA, 1410 nt
Organism: Portunus trituberculatus (swimming crab)
Lineage: Eukaryota; Metazoa; Arthropoda; Malacostraca; Decapoda; Portunidae
Exons: 7
Source: RefSeq, a predicted model, not a curated record
UAGACCCUUCACUCCUGCGCUCUUUAGAUCCCUGGCACUGAGGAUCUCCAAGCAGGUGGCUCGCCGGCCCUCAGCGGGUGGUGGUCGGACGAACAUCACGACCCUGGACUGAUCUGAUUCUUGGACUGGGUCAGGUGCCACGCCUAUGAUAGCGUCUCAGAACCACUCCCAGGGCUCAUAAGAAGACCUCCAUAGGCCUAAUAACAAGAAAUCCCGAGUCACCUGUUGCAAGAUCACCUGUUACCUGUACUCGUGGCCUGCCUUUCCUUGACACCUUCGGGCUUAGGUUGACCAACGAGGCCAAGUCCCUUUACUAGGCUACCGAAUGUGCCAAAAACUACAGGACACACAGUUGCUGCACUGCUGAUCAUCCCUGUCCCUGUCUGACGGUCUGGCCGACACCCUGCACUGCCUUACUGAUCCUGAAGAUCUCAAGAACAUUCACUUCUCAGCCUUUGCUUUAGACUGAGCUUUCCCUCCAGCUGUCCAAGAAUACCUGGAGCAGUGGAGGAAGAUAAUGGAGGUGCUGCUGGAGAUCCUGGAUGUGGGUGUGGCCGAAGGAGACAGCCAGCACGACUACUCUGUUCACAUGGGCACUGAUGGGGCAGGUUCAGCCUCCUCUACCUGCACCUGGCCCAUUGCAGGGGUGAUGAAGCCUGCCUGAAGAAAGCCUUGAGCAUCCUGAACAAUGCCCUGCACAAUCUGAUGAGCCAACGCCAUUCCUUCAUCUGUGACAACACGGGGCCCUUGGCGCCGGUAGUCGUGCUGUGCCACAGGGAGGGGGACACCGGCAUGUUGAAGAUCUGCAUCUUAAAGUCUUUGGGAACAAGAGUUACUUGGAGGAAGCCAAGAGUAGGAAGUGUGUGGGAGUGAGGCAUUCUGAAAAAGGGUUACGGCAUCUGUCACGGCACAGCUGGCAAAUGAUAGACGCUGCUCUUCUUGUAUCAGGUGACCCACAAGGCUAAGUUCCUGUACCAAGCUGCCAGUGUGCCAAAACUAUGGCACACAUGGCUGCUGCACCACUGACUGCGGGCCUAUCUAAAGUGAGAACAUUUACUUCCCAGCCUUUGCUUUAUUGUGAGGCAUACAAAGAUGUGUUACUUAUUCUCACAAGGUCAUGUAAUAAAAGAAGGAAGGUGUUAGGAUUUAAGACUUGGCAGUGUACUUGUUGUAACUCUUGUAUUUUUCUUUAUUGUCUCUCUACACAAAUGUAUAAGACUUCUUACCUGUAAUUGAUGUCAUGUUGUUUGUAGAGUGUAUGUUGCAUUACAUUUGUCACAUGUGUAUGUAAUGUGUGUUAGAGGAAGCACCAGUGAAUCAUUUGAGGUAACAAGAACUGUUGGUUGUGAUUGGAGUAAAUGUAAUUGGUGGUUACUUUCCUGCCUUUGAAAUGAGAGGGGGGGGAUAGGC